Molecule: long non-coding RNA, 704 nt
Organism: Pocillopora damicornis (cauliflower coral)
Lineage: Eukaryota; Metazoa; Cnidaria; Anthozoa; Scleractinia; Pocilloporidae
Source: RefSeq, a predicted model, not a curated record
AAACUUGAGCAAUUUUUCACCCGCGAACAGAUUUUGAACCAGGAAGUAUACAGGUACAAUUAUACAUGCGUUACCGGUAGGGUUUUUAAGUAAAAAAAAAAAUUAAAAAGUAAACAAACAAACAGCCAAAAACUAGGCAAUAAACAAAAAUCAUUAUAAUAUUACAACCAAAACCAGCAAACAAGCAUGUAACGAUAAGAGGAAAAAAAAAACCAAAAACAUUAGCACAGUGUAAGCCGUAUCGUCACUUCUUAUGAUGAUAGACCAGACUGUUUUGGAGUAACCGAAUGAUUUCCACCGACCAGAAUGCAGUUGUACAGUAGGGAGAAGACUAAAGAGCUGUUAUACUCACACUUCAGGGAUUUAUUUCCUGAUAACAGUUCACAAGAAUGGAUUUUACAGAUACCGUAAUUAGAUCAAAUUUUGCUGACUGAGAAAGCAAAAUUUGAUGACCAAUUACAGUAAAAAAAAUGAUAAUUACGAUGACAUACUAGUAUAACGACAAACAGUAUGUUCGACUGAGGUUCGAUUCAAGUUCAUUAAGAAACUUGGUUGAUAGAGAAUUCACGGUUACCAUGGUAAUCAAUGAGGACGUUGUAUUUCAAAAGUAAUGAAAAAAAAGGGAGUCAAAAUAAAUCGAAUUAAGAAUGAUCCAUCAGAGGCAGCUUAAAAAGUAACCGAUAAUAAAAAUUAUUUGUUUAUAC